UUACGGGGUGCAGCAGGCGCGAAAACUUGGCAAUGCGAGAAAUCGUGACCAGGGAACUCCAAGUGCAUGGGGUAAGACCCAUGCUUUUCUUGACUCUAAAUAGGUCUUGGAAUAAGGGGUGGGUAAGGACGGUGCCAGCCGCCGCGGUAAUACCGGCGCCUCAAGUGGUAGUCGCUUUUAUUGGGCCUAAAACGUCCGUAGCCGGUCUGAUACAUUCGUGGGUAAAUCAACCAGCUUAACUGGUUGAAUUCUGCGAGGACGGUCAGACUUGGGACCGGGAGAGGUGUGGGGUACGCUCAGGGUAGGGGUAAAAUCCUGUCAUCCUGAGCGGACCACCUGUUGCGAAGGCGCCACACUAGAACGGAUCCGACGGUCAGGGACGAAGCCUAGGGGCACGAACCGGAUUAGAUACCCGGGUAGUCCUAGGUGUAAACGCUGUGGACUUGAUGUUGGGGGUGCUCCGAGCACUCUCAGUGUCGAAGCGAAGGCGAUAAGUCCACCGCCUGGGAAGUACGGUCGCAAGGCUGAAACUUAAAGGAAUUGGCGGGG
Molecule: ribosomal RNA, 549 nt
Filed under: uncultured archaeon
Lineage: Archaea
Description: bacterial SSU rRNA
Rfam family: Archaeal small subunit ribosomal RNA
Source: RNAcentral